Molecule: ribosomal RNA, 425 nt
Filed under: uncultured bacterium
Lineage: Bacteria
Description: partial 16S ribosomal RNA
Rfam family: Bacterial small subunit ribosomal RNA
Source: RNAcentral
GUGGGGAAUCUUAGACAAUGGGCGCAAGCCUGAUCUAGCCAUGCCGCGUGAUCGAUGAAGGCCUUAGGGUUGUAAAGAUCUUUCAGUGGGGAAGAUAAUGACUGUACCCACAGAAGAAGCCCCGGCUAACUCCGUGCCAGCAGCCGCGGUAAUACGGAGGGGGCUAGCGUUGUUCGGAAUUACUGGGCGUAAAGCGCACGUAGGCGGAACAGAAAGUCAGAGGUGAAAUCCCAGGGCUCAACCUUGGAACUGCCUUCAAAACUCCUGGUCUGGAGUUCGAGAGAGGUGAGUGGAAUUCCGAGUGUAGAGGUGAAAUUCGUAGAUAUUCGGAGGAACACCAGUGGCGAAGGCGGCUCACUGGCUCGAUACUGACGCUGAGGUGCGAAAGCGUGGGGAGCAAACAGGAUUAGAUACCCGUGUAGUCC